GAUACUUUCUGCCUUGGAACCGGGAGAUGUAAGAGGUACUUCCCGGGUAGGAGUGAAAUUUUGUAAUCCCUGUGGGACCACCGGUGGCGAAGGCGUCUUACCAGAACGGGUUCGGCGGUGAGGGAUGAAAGCCGGGGGCACGAACCGGGUUAGAUACCCGGGUAGUCCCAGCCGUAAACGAUGCUUGCUAGGUGUCAGGCAUGGCGCGACCGUGUCUGGUGCCGCAGGGAAGCCGUGAAGCGAGCCACCUGGGAAGUACGGCCGCAAGGCUGAAACUUAAAGGAAUUGGCGGGGGAGCAC
RNAcentral lists this ribosomal RNA (300 nucleotides) under uncultured archaeon. RNAcentral describes it as "bacterial SSU rRNA". It matches the Rfam family "Archaeal small subunit ribosomal RNA", at positions 580 to 879 of the family's 1478-position model. The record is from RNAcentral.